This 484-nucleotide ribosomal RNA is filed under the name uncultured bacterium. RNAcentral's name for it is "partial 16S ribosomal RNA". It matches the Rfam family "Bacterial small subunit ribosomal RNA", at positions 29 to 507 of the family's 1533-position model. The record is from RNAcentral.
AUUGAACGCUGGCGGCAUGCUUUACACAUGCAAGUCGAACGGCAGCGCGGGCUUCGGCCUGGCGGCGAGUGGCGAACGGGUGAGUAAUGCAUCGGAACGUGCCCAGUAGUGGGGGAUAGCCCGGCGAAAGCCGGAUUAAUACCGCAUACGACCUGAGGGUGAAAGCGGGGGACCGAAAGACCUCGCGCUAUUGGAGCGGCCGAUGUCGGAUUAGCUAGUUGGUGGGGUAAAGGCUUACCAAGGCGACGAUCCGUAGCUGGUCUGAGAGGACGACCAGCCACACUGGGACUGAGACACGGCCCAGACUCCUACGGGAGGCAGCAGUGGGGAAUUUUGGACAAUGGGGGCAACCCUGAUCCAGCCAUGCCGCGUGCGGGAAGAAGGCCUUCGGGUUGUAAAGCGCUUUUGUUCGGGAAGAAAGCCUCUGGGCUAAUACCCCGGUGGGAUGACGGUACCGGAAGAAUAAGCACCGGCUAACUACGUG